ACGAUGCGCCAGCUCAACGGAACGAGUGUUUCGGCUCAUCGCUUCACCAGUCACCACCCCGACAGAGACCGCCACCGUCAAGCAUGUUGGGUGCACCGAGUCCGGCAGCAGGCGAAUUCAGACGCCGUCUUGCACAGCUUCCGGGGGUGAAGGGCGGACUAGGCAGCAGAGACACUAACGGGCCAAAGAUCCUGGCAGCCCUCUCCGCGCCGAGGGGCAGCACCAUCCGCGAGAACCCUCAAAGAGCUCUGAAGGCAGGGCUGCCCGUCGAGUGGCUGAUAGAGGGACAAGACAAUGAGAUUGCUCACAGGGGUGGAAGCUUGCCACGCGGGAAGACGACACGCCACGGGGCUGCCUUUUCCUCUACCAGAGUGCAUGCCAACGCAGCUGUGCUACACAUGCACACGGCCGGCAGCUUCUCGGUUUGAAUGUCUUGAUCGUGUGCAUACGAUGCUCUAGACGAGCAUGCACCCAGCCGGCACACUGUCGCAAGGACCCUUCGGCUGUAGACGAGAGAGCGAUCCUUCGUUAUCAGAUUCAGGGGGGUCCCUCACACUCCCACGUAGCUGUGCCGGGCCGCGGCACUCGAGCAAGGCCGCGCGGGAGGAGCUGACUGCGUAGGUUCGAGGCCUCACCACAACAGUGGAAGGACACGAGUCGAGCAAGAAGCGGAUUAGCGGACUGGUGUGCGAGUGCGCCGGAGAGAGCGCCAGCGUGCCGCUCGGCAACGCGCGACCAUCGGUAGGGAGCGCACGUGCUUCUCCUCUACCGCAGCACCAGCACGGUGAGUGGAGGAGAGACAAAAAGGGGCAAAUGCCGCACCACGCGGCCUCCGAUAUGGGGCUUAUUUGCGACGGGAAAGGCGUGCACGCACAUGUUUCCAAGAAGUCACGUGUGGUGGUAAUCCAAACGGUUACCUUUGUGUUUGCUGUAUAUCUUGUGGGAUGGCCUCCGGAGGAAGACGUCGCGCCUUGUCGAAUAUACCUGGGCGGCUCAAAGUCGCAGGCGAUGAGUGCGCACUGAAUCUCCCACCUGGAAGCGUAACAGCCUCUUCGCGCGUCGACGGCGCGAGGAGUGAGCUGCACUCUAUCGGUGUUCGCUUCCUAUGCCUUUAGCUCACUUGCCCGCUUUCCAUCCUUUCUCUCGCUUCUCGCUGUGCUGCGCUGACACGCGCAG
Molecule: unclassified non-coding RNA, 1176 nt
Filed under: Leishmania donovani
Lineage: Eukaryota; Euglenozoa; Kinetoplastea; Trypanosomatida; Trypanosomatidae
Description: gene:unknown
Source: RNAcentral